This 866-nucleotide ribosomal RNA is filed under the name uncultured bacterium. RNAcentral's name for it is "bacterial SSU rRNA". It matches the Rfam family "Bacterial small subunit ribosomal RNA", at positions 25 to 902 of the family's 1533-position model. The record is from RNAcentral.
CAGGACGAACGCGGGCGGCGUGCUUAACACAUGCAAGUCGCACGGGACCCGCAAGGGUUCAGUGGCGGACGGGUGCGUAACACGUGAGGAACAUAUCCAUUGGUGGGGGAUAGCCGGCCCAACGGCCGGGUAAUACCGCGUAAGACCCUUGGGGCGCAUGCUCUGGGGGUGAAAGCAGCAAUGCGCCGAUGGAGUGCCUCGCGACCUAUCAGCUAGUUGGUGAGGUAACGGCUCACCAAGGCUACGACGGGUAGCUGGUCUGAGAGGAUGGCCAGCCACAUUGGGACUGAGACACGGCCCAGACUCCUACGGGAGGCAGCAGUGGGGAAUAUUGCGCAAUGGCCGAAAGGCUGACGCAGCGACGCCGCGUGUGGGAUGACGGUCUUCGGAUUGUAAACCACUGUCGGGAGGGACGAAUGCGCCGCAAGGCGAGUGACGGUACCUCCAAAGGAAGCACCGGCUAACUCCGUGCCAGCAGCCGCGGUAAUACGGAGGGUGCGAGCGUUGUCCGGAAUCACUGGGCGUAAAGGGCGCGUAGGCGCCGGAUAAGUAGGGGGUGAAAUCGUGCGGCUCAACUGCACGGCUGCCUUCUAGACUGUUCGGCUGGAGCACGGUAGAGGCAGAUGGAAUUCCCGGUGUAGCGGUGGAAUGCGUAGAGAUCGGGAAGAACAUCGGUGGCGAAGGCGGUCUGCUGGGCCGUUGCUGACGCUGAGGCGCGACAGCGUGGGGAGCAAACAGGAUUAGAUACCCUGGUAGUCCACGCCGUAAACGAUGGGUACUAGGCGUCGGGGGGAGCGACCCUCUCGGUGCCGUCGCUAACGCAGUAAGUACCCCGCCUGGGGAGUACGGCCGCAAGGCUGAAACUC